UACUCCUACGGGAGGCAGCAGUAGGGAAUCCUCCGCAAUGGGCGAAAGCCUGACGGAGCAACGCCGCGUGAGUGAUGAAGGUCUUCGGAUCGUAAAACUCUGUUAUUAGGGAAGAACAUAUGUGUAAGUAACUGUGCACAUCUUGACGGUACCUAAUCAGAAAGCCACGGCUAACUACGUGCCAGCAGCCGCGGUAAUACGUAGGUGGCAAGCGUUAUCCGGAAUUAUUGGGCGUAAAGCGCGCGUAGGCGGUUUUUUAAGUCUGAUGUGAAAGCCCACGGCUCAACCGUGGAGGGUCAUUGGAAACUGGAAAACUUGAGUGCAGAAGAGGAAAGUGGAAUUCCAUGUGUAGCGGUGAAAUGCGCAGAGAUAUGGAGGAACACCAGUGGCGAAGGCGACUUUCUGGUCUGUAACUGACGCUGAUGUGCGAAAGCGUGGGGAUCAAACAGGAUUAGAUACCCUGGUAGUCCACGCCGUAAACGAUGAGUGCUAAGUGUUAGGGGGUUUCCGCCCCUUAGUGCUGCAGCUAACGCAUUAAGCACUCCGCCUGGGGAGUACGACCGCAAGGUUGAAACUCAAAGGAAUUGACGGA
This 592-nucleotide ribosomal RNA is filed under the name uncultured bacterium. RNAcentral describes it as "bacterial SSU rRNA". It matches the Rfam family "Bacterial small subunit ribosomal RNA", at positions 334 to 917 of the family's 1533-position model. The record is from RNAcentral.